GACGAACGCUGGCGGCGUGCUUAACACAUGCAAGUCGAACGGUAAGGCCCUUCGGGGUACACGAGUGGCGAACGGGUGAGUAACACGUGGGUGAUCUGCCCUGCACUUCGGGAUAAGCCUGGGAAACUGGGUCUAAUACCGGAUCGGACCCUGGGAUGCAUGUCCUGGGGUGGAAAGCUUUUGCGGUGUGGGAUGGGCCCGCGGCCUAUCAGCUUGUUGGUGGGGUGAUGGGCUACCAAGGCGACGACGGGUAGCCGGCCUGAGAGGGUGACCGGCCACACUGGGACUGAGAUACGGCCCAGACUCCUACGGGAGGCAGCAGUGGGGAAUAUUGCACAAUGGGCGCAAGCCUGAUGCAGCGACGCCGCGUGAGGGAUGACGGCCUUCGGGUUGUAAACCUCUUUCAGCACCGACGAAGCGCAAGUGACGGUAGGUGCAGAAGAAGGACCGGCCAACUACGUGCCAGCAGCCGCGGUAA
RNAcentral lists this ribosomal RNA (478 nucleotides) under uncultured bacterium. Its description in RNAcentral is "partial 16S ribosomal RNA". It matches the Rfam family "Bacterial small subunit ribosomal RNA", at positions 28 to 523 of the family's 1533-position model. The record is from RNAcentral.